GGAGCGCUCCUGCCCCUCACAGCCUGCCGGCCUCAGGCCACUGGGCCAGCUGUCAACUCCCGGCCUCCCACAGCGGACAGUGGGGGAAAGAGCGGGAGGGACUGCAGGAGUUACCUUGCCCUGCAGUUCCUGGACAGCGGGUCAGGAUGGAACAGAGCGAAGCCCAUCCGCCCUCCAGCAACGAAGCCGGCAGGGCGCGGUCGCCCUCUGCCCUCCGCCCUGGAAGCCCGCUGGUCCUCGUCUACCGUGCGCUGCCCCUGGCUGCCCUGCGAGUUGCUGGGAGACAAGGAGCCCCUCAUCCUCACCUGCAGGAGCCCUGUGCCACCCACUUCUGAGCCUCCCGGAGGCCCCACCACGUGUUCCUGGUCUGAGCAGCAGAGCCAGCAGCCACCCCACCCCCACCCCAACGGCCACCUCUCACUCGACUGGAAACUGCAGGAGACCUCGGCCUCUGCUGGUACAGAGGAGGCAGCUGUUUAGCUAAAAGCACUUGCCCCAGACCCCGUGGGUGGUGACUUAGACCCAGACUGUCAGGCUGAGGGCACCAAAAGGAUAGUUACAUUUUUGCUCUUCCUCGGGGACGAUGCGGUAAACUUUGUAUGGCUCAGAAAUGUCCAGCUGGGACCGAUCGGUCACUUCCUCAAAAUCUGGGCUCUUGUUCAAAGCACAGCGGAGUCUUGUCUUCCACGUGGCAGGUUCGGCCUUGUCCCCUUCCUUAAACUUCCCUUUAAAAACUGCCCAGGCCUGAGGGAAGAAAAGGAAGCACAUGAUAUAUACAGCUGUCACGAUGGACAGUAUCUGCAGACCUUUCUCGCCCUCCUGAAAGUCACCUUUCUCUGGCCACUGGGUGGAGAGGGGGAGAGGAGGAGGCUGAGGAGGAGGAGGAGGCUGCUGCGCUCCGUGCCAGACAGGGCAAGCAAGAAACACAACACAAAGAGGAAGUUACACUUGCUUUUUCAAAUCAACCUCUGGCUAAGGGAACAUUUGCAAAAAGUCUGAAUGUGUAAUGGUGACAAAUAAAAGAUUUUAUUUGUAGGGGAAAAAA
Non-coding RNA from Vicugna pacos (alpaca), 1045 nucleotides. Lineage: Eukaryota; Metazoa; Chordata; Mammalia; Artiodactyla; Camelidae. The record is from RefSeq and is a predicted model, not a curated record.